This 427-nucleotide ribosomal RNA is filed under the name uncultured bacterium. Its description in RNAcentral is "bacterial SSU rRNA". It matches the Rfam family "Bacterial small subunit ribosomal RNA", at positions 354 to 797 of the family's 1533-position model. The record is from RNAcentral.
GUGGGGGAUAUUGCGCAAUGGGGGCAACCCUGACGCAGCAACGCCGCGUGAAGGAUGAAGGUUUUCGGAUUGUAAACUUCUUUUAUUAAGGACGAAUUUUGACGGUACUUAAUGAAUAAGCUCCGGCUAACUACGUGCCAGCAGCCGCGGUAAUACGUAGGGAGCAAGCGUUGUCCGGAUUUACUGGGUGUAAAGGGUGCGUAGGCGGCUUUGCAAGUCAGAUGUGAAAUCUAUGGGCUCAACCCAUAAACUGCAUUUGAAACUGUAGAGCUUGAGUGAAGUAGAGGCAGGCGGAAUUCCCCGUGUAGCGGUGAAAUGCGUAGAGAUGGGGAGGAACACCAGUGGCGAAGGCGGCCUGCUGGGCUUUAACUGACGCUGAGGCACGAAAGCGUGGGUAGCAAACAGGAUUAGAAACCCUAGUAGUCCC